RNAcentral lists this ribosomal RNA (365 nucleotides) under uncultured eukaryote. Its description in RNAcentral is "partial 18S ribosomal RNA". It matches the Rfam family "Eukaryotic small subunit ribosomal RNA", at positions 592 to 975 of the family's 1831-position model. The record is from RNAcentral.
CAAUAGCGUAUAUUAACGUUGUUGCAGUUAAAAAGCUCGUAGUUGGAUUUCUGGAGGGAGCGUCGGCCCGUAUUUACGAGUGCGUGACGUCUCUGUCCAUCCUUGCGGGAAGGCACGGCAUUGAUUUGUUGUGUCGGAUCGCAUCAUUUACUGUGAAAAAAUUAGAGUGUUCAAAGCAGGCUUUCGCUUGAAUACAUUAGCAUGGAAUAAUAAGAUAGGACUUUGGUGCUAUUUUGUUGGUUGAGCCUAAAGUAAUGAUUAAUAGGGAUAGUUGGGGGCACCUGUAUUGCGUUGUCAGAGGUGAAAUUCUUGGAUUUACGCAAGACAAACAGCUGCGAAAGCAUUUACCAAGGAUGUUUNCAUUA